RNAcentral lists this transfer RNA (77 nucleotides) under Escherichia coli. Its description in RNAcentral is "tRNA-Met". It matches the Rfam family "tRNA". From Rfam's summary of the family: Transfer RNA (tRNA) molecules are approximately 80 nucleotides in length. Their secondary structure includes four short double-helical elements and three loops (D, anti-codon, and T loops). The record is from RNAcentral. Lineage: Bacteria; Pseudomonadati; Pseudomonadota; Gammaproteobacteria; Enterobacterales; Enterobacteriaceae.
CGCGGGGUGGAGCAGCCUGGUAGCUCGUCGGGCUCAUAACCCGAAGGUCGUCGGUUCAAAUCCGCGUCCGGUGUGCA